AUGUGCCGAGGCCAGGAAACAGUAGGGUAUAGGAGCACCCCUUCUUUCCAAUUAGUUGUUUUUGUAUUAAUUGCGAUUUCCUCGGUCUUAGUAAUUAGUGUACCCCUUGUAUUUGCUUCUGCUGAUGGUUGAUCAAAUAAUAAAACGGUUGUACUUUCCUCAAACCAUGUCUAG
This 174-nucleotide ribosomal RNA is filed under the name Triticum aestivum (bread wheat). RNAcentral's name for it is "partial small subunit ribosomal RNA". Lineage: Eukaryota; Viridiplantae; Streptophyta; Magnoliopsida; Poales; Poaceae. The record is from RNAcentral.